CGCGAAGAACCUUACCAAAUCUUGACAUCCUUUGACAACUCUAGAGAUAGAGCUUUCCUCUUCGGAGGACAAAGUGACAGGUGGUGCAUGGUUGUCGUCAGCUCGUGUCGUGAGAUGUUGGGUUAAGUCCCGCAACGAGCGCAACCCUUGAACUUAGUUGCCAUCAUUUAGUUGGGCACUCUAAGUUGACUGCCGGUGACAAACCGGAGGAAGGUGGGGAUGACGUCAAAUCAUCAUGCCCCUUAUGAUUUGGGCUACACACGUGCUACAAUGGACAAUACAAAGGGCAGCGAAACCGCGAGGUCAAGCAAAUCCCAUAAGGUUGUUCUCAGUUCGGAUUGUAGUCUGCAACUCGACUACAUGAAGCUGGAAUCGCUAGUAAUCGUAGAUCAGCAUGCUACGGUGAAUACGUUCCCGGGUCUUGUACACACC
This 432-nucleotide ribosomal RNA is filed under the name uncultured bacterium. Its description in RNAcentral is "bacterial SSU rRNA". It matches the Rfam family "Bacterial small subunit ribosomal RNA", at positions 960 to 1391 of the family's 1533-position model. The record is from RNAcentral.